UACAGAGGGGGCGAGCGUUGUUCGGAAUUACUGGGCGUAAAGGGCGCGUAGGCGGCCUUCUAAGUCGAACGUGAAAUCCCCGGGCUCAACCCGGGAACUGCGUCCGAUACUGGGAGGCUUGAAUCCGGGAGAGGGAUGUGGAAUUCCAGGUGUAGCGGUGAAAUGCGUAGAUAUCUGGAGGAACACCGGUGGCGAAGGCAGCAUCCUGGACCGGUAUUGACGCUGAGGCGCGAAAGCCAGGGGAGCAAACGGG
This 253-nucleotide ribosomal RNA is filed under the name uncultured bacterium. RNAcentral describes it as "partial 16S ribosomal RNA". It matches the Rfam family "Bacterial small subunit ribosomal RNA", at positions 524 to 776 of the family's 1533-position model. The record is from RNAcentral.